UAGUCGGAAGGAAUUCUUCCUUGUUGAAUUUGUUUAAGCCCUUCCAUUAUUCGGUGCCGGGUAAAAGUUUAGCAGCCGUUCUGUCUAUAGGAAUAGAAGCCUCGCGGAGUUUUACGCCAGUUUUGUCCCAAAGCUCUCCAUCAAAGGAGAAUCCAAAUUCAGGGACGUUUUUGCUUAUCCAUUUGAGAAAAGUAGCUAAUGCUGAGGUAGAUACAGGCUGAUUCUGAAACGUUAAAGCUAACCAUAAUGCUGCAAGAUUUCCUUGCUGCUGCAUCGUUAGCGAACUGCCCAUCGUUCCCAACCGCUCGCCUUCUGUCCUGCAGAACGCUGCGGGCGCCAAUCUCUCCAUCGUUCAGCCAGGUGGCGGUGCCGGGCCGGGCUCACUCGGCCUCGGCUUGGUUUGCCCCAUGCAGUGGGCACCUUUUGCAGCACCUGAUGCACGAACUCAGAUAUAAACGAUCCAAAUCAUUUAUUACAAGUUCUAACAUCACUUAUAUACCUUCACAAGUUUUCUUUUUCUAGCUUUCACAUCCACCCCUACAACUUUCCCUUGCUCCUAUAACUUUAUCUUGCUCCACAGCUGCUACUCCGAACAGUUUUUCUUGUAUUCCCACAGUUUUCUGCCAUCGAUCAGCAUUCCUGGUCAACUUCAGAGGACUAGAGGCUUGCCAGCAUGGCUCCCAUCUGCAAGGAGGGUCAUAAGAAGGACUCGAUGAACUACAGGCCUGUCAGCCAAGAACUCAGUGCUGGCAAAGUUUAUGGAACAGAUCAUCUUGAGUGAGAUCGUGAGGCAUUUAUGAAACAACCAGUUAUGAUAAAUCUUGUUCAUCUUCACUGCUGUGGAGGCCUGCAGAUCCUUACAUCAGUUACAGAGAGAGAGUGCAUCAGACAUCACCACUGUGCUUGGCUACUGUUGCUUGUUCUGGUCUGCAUUCGGAGUUUCCAUUGACCUUCUGUGAGGUUUGUUCUGUAGGCUACAUUUGUCAUUACAGAAGUGCUUUGCAGUAUGGGUGGAGUAGGUCAUAAGCAUCUUCCUGUGUGUAUUGAACUAAUGUGAAUCUCUCCUAAUGUUAUGCUCCUUAACACAUGUAUAUCAGCUAAAAACAUUAAUCCCUGAGCACCAGAUAGUAUUCUUUGAUAAGCUUCUGGCAGUUUCAGUAACCUGUUUUUAUGGCAAUAGAGUGUAGGGGACUGGGGGUGUAAAGGACAUUUAAGGUAGGCCAAACUGGAGAUACAAGUGAUAACACCUUCAUAACAUAAUACAACAAAAUGUUUCUCCAUACUGAGGAAUAUUUGUGAGCAGUUGAGAAGAUCAGCUGCCAAGUAAUAUUCAUCCCACUUCAACGCUUGUGCUUAAAAUACCAGAGAAGCUAAAUUCCUGUAAGAGUACAAAAUAGUCUACCUAUAGGGGACAUAUCUGGCAUAAAGAUAGUACAUCUCUUUAGUCAGUCUUAUGCAGAAACGCUGAGGAGAUUCAGUCCCACCAAUCAUCAAAAAAUGCCAGUCUUAUUUUCUGCUGCAGUGAAAUCUGUCUAUUUGCAUGCAAAUGUUCAGCACUUCAAACACUGGAGCAUCAAAAGUCAAGCUCAUUAUUGCCUAAAGAAAUCUAUAAGGGGAUUGAAGGAAGGAAUACGAAACUAAAAGCAUCAAAGGUACUUCAGUACAGUUACAGCAAGGUGCUUCAUGUCAAUGUGGUGUUGAAUCUGUGUAACAUUAGUUUAGCGAUGGGAUGUGACACGUUGAUAAAAACAAGACUCUAGCAAAGCAGUUGCUGACAAAUUUAAGGCCAAGUGUAGGACUUGAAAGGGACACAUCAUAUGUAGAAGGAUGAAUAAGAUAAAUUCUUUUGUAGAAUACUUUGGAGCUCCUCAGACAUCUGAAAACAUAAGGGUGAGGUAAUGUGUAAGAAAUUACGCAGACCCUCGGUAGCAAGAUAAAUCACACUGAUUAGGAACAACCUGAUCCCUAGGGACAUGUAGACAUCUCUUUGCAGCUAGAAGUCCAAAUGCCUAUGCUGAUUUCUAAAUAGAAGACAUUGUUCUGUGAUAUUACUGCUCUUGUAAUUCCUUCAGAUAUGUCACAGAGUCUGUAGUGAGGUAGCAUUUAAAUAGAAAAAUAAAUAUGCAUUUCUUGGGAGCUAGAGUGCUUUUAUCAUAAUAGCCAUUCAGCACUUUGUAAGCACUGUAUAAAAAUCUGUGUAUCAUGGAAAGAGUUGUUCUGUUUCUUCUCUGAAUGUUUCAUUACUUGAUUAAUUUAGUCGUAUACAAGCAUAGCAUGAUAUUCCUUAGCUGCUUCCUUCCAAGUGGAGGGAAAACAUUUGAUAAAGGACAUGAUUUUCAGCAGAUCAGUCAGAGCAAAGCCAAUUGCAAUUUCUUUUUAUAUAGUCAUCUUACCUGCCAAAUUUGUACAUUCUGCCUCCAGCCAUUUCACCGCAAGUGUUUUUUACACUGUUUGUAUCACUGUAGGCGAAGAAAUGCUAACACUUGUGUUUAUUUUUCAUACUGCAGUUAUUAACCUGCUUUUGCGUAGAUUUUACCUUUGCCCUUUUAAAAACCAGCUGGAAAUUAUCAUCUUGUAAUGUGAGUUUCAAAACUUCACACAACUCAUAUCAGAGGAUAAGAAGAGGUUAGGGAUUUUCAGUAGGAAGAUUCUUCAUGUUGUAUCAUAGCUAAUGAAGCUACCUGUGAGGGUUACUAUCUGCAGAGAGGACAUCUUGGCUCCAUUUUUUUUUCACAUUCAGGCAGUGCAGUGCAGUGUUCUUUCAGUAGCUUCCAGCAGCUCACUUGUCCUCAUUUAGUGGAAAUUACUUGUGCCAGUGUGACUGGCUUCAAAACUAGGUCUGGGAAAUGGUACAUUUAAAAUAUGUAAAUAAAAUAUAUUCAAAUUUCAGUAGGACCAAUCCAUUCUGUGGCACUGCUUUAGAGUGCAGUCAUGCCAAUAGUUGAAUUAUGCAGGAUAUGAAUUUCUGCCAAAGGGCUGCAUCUCUGAAGGAUGGAACUAAGGGGCAUACAGUACUAGAUGUCCUUUUGGAGAUGACGCGAAAUCACAGUCCGAAAAUACGAGAUCUCUUUAGAAUUAAAAAAAGUAAUAUUGUCAUUUUUGCAGACUCCUCUGUAUUUUCUACUACUACAGUGAAGGAACUAGUCUCUGUCUUAGGUAUUUCUAAACUCCAGUGUUUCCUACAAGUGUUUUACGUGCAUAUUUUUUAAUAUACUACAUGUCAUGAAUGAUUUGAACAAGUUAUACCUAAACUUUUUUUUUUUUUAAUAUUUUGCACAGUGAAAGAAAGGAUGUAAAAAAAGGAAGGAUCUUAUUCUUUUAGCAUCUGAUCAAAGACCUUUUACAAGUUGUAGGAAGUCACAAUUGGUUUCAGUGAAUGUUGAAUCAAGCUCCAAACCAAUGAACUCAUGUUCAUCGAUGCAGACCUUGAAAUAUUCUAACCAAGUGGAUAGAAAGCUUUUCCAGAGGAUUCCAGCUAUCAUGUGACUCAGUCUGGUUCCUAACUCUGCAUAGGUCCCUCAGCAGUAUAACUGCUUUCACCUUCUUCUGAGCUUUGCAAUAGCCUGAAGCAACAAAAAAUCCCUCCCCUCUUUGUGCUUUGCUGUGUAUAUUUUUGAUAACAGACAUACUUCAACUGCCACUGAAGUCUAUCUAAAUAGGAAUGUUCUGUGGUACUUUUGUUGCUGUUGUUGUUGUUUUGUGUCGGAGAUAUGUUUUGUUGAUUUAAGACAUUUCUGCAAUUUCAGAGACUUUCACUGGUGCGCUUGGUGUUCAGAAGCAGCUGGAUUUUUUUAUCUAAACUUCCCAAAUGGGAUUUAUUCCACAAACUCUUUCCAGAAUAUAUUUGAUUUAAAAUACAUAUAUAUGUGUGUCUUGAUAUUUACUUGUGCUGUCAUCUUGUUUUCCUGGUAUUUUUAGUACAGAAUAAAAUCUUGAAAACAUAUGCGUAAAGCAAGUGGUUUUAACACAUUUCAAAAAGAAGACCAGGGGGUAAGAGACAAAGGCAUAUCAAAACAUAGACCUGCGGGGCAUCUAGAAUCAAAUGUAGAUCAUUAGUUUCAUGCUGCAGCAUGCAGAGAAAUCUCAGAAUUCAAUCCAGAUGUAAGUGAACACAUGGAAAUAAUUUCUGUGAAAAUGCAAAAUCAUGAAAUGUUGUAUUGCCCAUGUAGUAAACAACACUAUUUCAAUAUUUUCACCAUUUCAGUGACUCCUGCACUGUCAGUUUCUCAGCCAGGCUAAACUGCUUAGAAAAAGGAGGCCCUCCUGAGCUUUAUUCUGUGUGAUGAUAUUGUGAUCAGAUGUUGGCACUCUGAGAAGUGGUCUGACCCCCAUGUCUUAAUGAUAAUCCGCACCCAUAGGAGAGGAAUGUUUUAAUUAUUGCCAGCUAACUGAAAAUCCUCCACAAGAUGAAAGUGGAAGAAUAAUUUGUUUACAUAAACCAAACCAUAGAUAACAAAGUUAAUAGGUACAGAGAGAAGCCAAAAGAAAUACAAACAACCCCUUUGCACCUACCUGUAUUUUAGCUCAACUUCUGCUAGCAAAGAGUCAGAAUACUUUGUCUGGGAUCCAAGUAUCAGACAAAAAACCCUGCUCUGGAUUUAAACUCUGUUUAGAGGUUACCUCUAUCUGACAGAUGCCCAGGCUCUUAGAAUUCUGUUUAGAUUCAGAUAGUCUCUCUUCAUGUUAUCUUUUAAUGCAACAGUUUCUUAGAGGCCAGCUCUAAUAUUUCUCAUACAGGACUAGUGCCAUAUUGUGCAUUCCAUACUGUAUAGUGUCAUACAGUACAAUAAAAUAGGGGGCAGUUAGCUGGAGGGCUGCUACUGCCCAAGGAAUGGCUAGGCAUCAGUCAGCAGGCAGUGAGUAAUCACAUUUUGCUUUGCCUGUUUUGUGUAUAUAUAAUCUAUGAUUAUUUUCCCUUUUCUGUCCUUGAAAAAUGUCUACAUCUCAGCCCACAAGUUUACUUUCUUUUUUCCAGUUCUCUCCUCUAUUCCACUUUGGAGGAGAAGGUGAACAGCUGUAUGGUACUUAUCUGCCUACGUAUCCUUGUAAACAAACACUUUCAAUACUGAGAACAGACCAGAAGCUUAGUGCAUCAACAUGUCAAUAAUCAGUGUCUUUGGUGAGGCAGUGGAUUCGCGAUCAAGGAUCUUCAAGCCUUGAGAGACACCACUGUAAGUUGCUUUCUGAACCCACUGGUAAAAAGGAAUGGAGAGGACCGACUUUUUAGGUGCUGCGUGUAUGCAGAGAAACAUCGUUACUAAUGGCAGAUAAAGAGUUGUUGCUCUGUUUAAACAUACCCAGGAUAAAAUUAGAUUCUGCGUAGUUAAGGGAGUGGGAGCAUUGCUUCCAAUGCUGCUGAGGAGCAGGGGCUGUAGAAAGUCUGGUGUUUUUUUUGUUUGGUUGGUUGGUUUUGUGGUGUUUUUUUUGUUGUUGUUGUUGUUGUUUGAUACCAUGUGAAUUUAUUGAAUUAUUCAGCAGUCUAAUGUAAUCUCCAUCCAGCUGGUCUAAAACCCAUGCACUGGUUGUGCAACGUGAAGGAGGUAGCCACCGCUGUACCACAGUAUGUAAAGGUCUCUUACUGAAAGUAUGUAGAUUAGAGGUCAAAAUGAAACCUGACUAUGGAGACCCUGGAUUGCUCCUUCGUAAUAAAAUUGCUUCUUUCAUGUAACAUUACAGCUCAGAACAAAACACAAAUGUAUUAGAAUUAGUAGAUCUGAUCUUAAUCAUCAUAUAUAAUUUCACUUUUUCAGAGGAACUGCAACUUAGUGGAACUCUUCUAGUGAGAGAAGUAAAUGAAAGAUAACACCUAUAUUAACUUUAGUUGUAUAUCUUGACUCUGGUUGUAUAUCUAUACUGUUUUCCAAUUUUUUUUACAUCCGUACGUACAUAAAAAAUUGAGAGCUCUUUAAAACUACAUGUUCCAUGCUGGUUUUUUGGUUUUUGUUUUAAUUUUCUCCUUUGCUCUUCUUCAGACCGUAGAUCCGGUUCUUAGAUGCUGUCAAUGAAAGCCCAGCUCCACUGAGGCCUGCAGCAGAUAUCCUAUCAAUUUCAAUGAAGCCACAAUUUUGCCCUGAAUUUACAAAGUUGUCAUGGUUUUAUGAUUUUGGUUAUCGGUGUUCCACAUCACAACAUCAUGUAGUGCACCGGGAGUUAAAGUGUUAAUGCUCAAUAGCAUUCAAUUCUGAUUAUAUUGUAUUAUGGUGUGCUAUCUUGCAUUCCAAUACCAUAUUUAGUAAAUUAGUUUGUUUCUCCUCAGAUCAUUGCCGCUGUUUUUAAUUAUUUCGGGGUCCUGUUUCCCUUUUGCAGAGGCAUGGAUUCACAAAAUCCCUCUGCCCUGCUGGCCAUGGAACUGGACCAAACCAGCCUGUAAACCGUUGACAGAAGUGGUGGAGCACUACAAGACCAUGUGUGCCAUAAUGCACACCCUAAAUGCCAGUGGUCUUUUUUCAGGGUGCUAAGACUUUUAACAAGGACAAUUAAUUGCACAUGACACCUUCUCUCUACAAAUAAUUUGGUAUAGAUUACUGUGCAUUUCAGAAAGUAGUGCUGUCCUAUCACUUCUAAGUUGGUCUAGGUACAAACCUUCUCUCUGAAACUUGGAGAGUCUGUAGUCAACACUACUGAUAUGUUUGAGAUCUGAACACUGUUGUAGUCACACAGACUGGAAAUUGUGAGAAACACGCUCAAGAUCAAAAAUUUCUGAUCAGGCAAAAAUCUCUGCGAAGAGCAGUUUAUUCAUUAUUGCAAUAAUGGGUGCAACCUCCUACUGAUGGGAGGAAUUGCAAAUCUGAUCAGUGGAAUCUAUUCUGUUACAUACGCCGGGUCCGACACAGGUAAAGCCUCUCCUGGCACUCAUUGGUUGAGCGUCUCAGGCUCACAAUCUUUUGCAGUUGCUACGUCACUCUUCCAUACAAUGUCUGUCACCAACCCAUUGUUUUUGGGUACGUUCCGUACUUUGUACGGUGAUAGAAGGACAAUAUUUUCAACAAUCCAAUUACCUAGUGCCUGUGCCAAUUUUACCUAGGUCAGAACACCCCAGUCUCAACUUCACUCUGUUAAGCAACUUUCUUUGUGAAAGGCAAAGUAUCCUGUGCUAUGUACAGAAAUACUGGAAGUUUCCACUGCAGAAACACAAUCUACUUCUCACAGAAUUCUGGAGAAAAGCAUGGAUCUGUAACAGUGGCACUGAUUGCAAGCAAUUUAGUAAGAUAAAUGAAAUAGAUGUAGAUGCAUCAUAGCUGACUCAUUUAAGACUAGGGUUCUUCUCUUGAGUGUAAUGCAAUUAUCCAAAAUCACAGACCUUCUUGUGGGUACAUUCAAACCAGACUGCUUUUCAUAAGAGACUCAGCUCAUUGACUGUGCUGGAUGUCUUUUGUCACCAUAUCAAAAUGUAUUUUUGUUUCAUUCACUGGAUUAAAGGAGGUUACUUAAUGUAGUGACUUAAUAGAGGAGGGAGAUACUCUAAAGGUGUAGUUCUCCUAACAGUCAAAAGAUGGUAGUACAAUUUCUAUUCCAAGCAGCCCAGCAACACAGGGUAGUUGCCAUGCAUCCAUUGUUUGUGUUUAUGCAAGGGAUGAAGAGAAUCCAUAAGAGUGUGUCUUUUAGCCCUCCACAAAAGAAGGGUAAAAGUCCAUACUUGGGAUCACAACAACCAGCUGUUUAUCUGGCAGUGGUUAUGAUCUCCCAGCCCCGAGGACACGAAGAGGUGCUCCUGCAGGGGGCUGCUAUGAGACCCCCGGCCCUUUGCACUGCGGCCGGAGCCGUGGCCCAGCACCGGACUCCUUCAUUUUGUAGCUGAUUUUGGUUUUACGUUUUUGUUUUAUUUUUGGGGGGGAGG
Molecule: long non-coding RNA, 7837 nt
Organism: Lagopus muta (rock ptarmigan)
Lineage: Eukaryota; Metazoa; Chordata; Aves; Galliformes; Phasianidae
Exons: 3
Source: RefSeq, a predicted model, not a curated record